GACGAACGCUGGCGGCGUGCUUAACACAUGCAAGUCGAACGAAGAUAUGUUGAAAGCUUGCUGAUACAUAUUUUAGUGGCGGACGGGUGAGUAACGCGUGAGGACUUGUCUAGUACAGGGGGACAACAGUUGGAAACGGCUGCUAAUACCCCAUAAGCCUAAGGGUAAAAGGAGCAAUCCGGGACAGGAGAGACUCGCGUCCUAUCAGGUAGUAGGUGGGGUAACGGCCCACCUAGGCGAGGACGGGUAGUCGGCCUGAGAGGGGGAACGGCCACACUGGAACUGAGACACGGUCCAGACUCCUCCGGGAGGCAGCAGUGGGGAAUAUUGGGCAAUGGAGGGAACUCUGACCCAGCGACGCCGCGUGAGUGAAGAAAUCCCUCGGGAUGUAAAGCUCUGUUGUGUGGGAAGAUAAUGACGGUACCACACGAGGAAGCCCCGGCAAACUACGUGCCAGCCGCCGCCGUAA
RNAcentral lists this ribosomal RNA (469 nucleotides) under uncultured bacterium. RNAcentral describes it as "partial 16S ribosomal RNA". It matches the Rfam family "Bacterial small subunit ribosomal RNA", at positions 28 to 523 of the family's 1533-position model. The record is from RNAcentral.